GUCCCCGUCGUCUAGUGGACUAGGACUCAGGAUUUUCAUUCCUGCAACGGGGGUUCGAUUCCCCCCGGGGAUG
This 73-nucleotide transfer RNA is filed under the name Candidatus Zhuqueibacterota bacterium. RNAcentral describes it as "candidate division KSB1 bacterium (aquatic metagenome) tRNA-Glu". It matches the Rfam family "tRNA". From Rfam's summary of the family: Transfer RNA (tRNA) molecules are approximately 80 nucleotides in length. Their secondary structure includes four short double-helical elements and three loops (D, anti-codon, and T loops). Lineage: Bacteria; Pseudomonadati. The record is from RNAcentral.